RNAcentral lists this ribosomal RNA (446 nucleotides) under uncultured bacterium. RNAcentral describes it as "bacterial SSU rRNA". It matches the Rfam family "Bacterial small subunit ribosomal RNA", at positions 28 to 471 of the family's 1533-position model. The record is from RNAcentral.
GAUGAACGCUAGCGGCAGGCUUAAUACAUGCAAGUCGAGGGGCAGCACGAAUAGCAAUAUUUGGUGGCGACCGGCGCACGGGUGCGUAACACGUAUACAACCUACCUAUAACAGGGGGAUAGCCUUUCGAAAGAGAGAUUAAUACCCCGUAAUAAAUUGAGUGGCAUCACUUGAUUUUGAAAGCUACGGCGGUUAUAGAUGGGUAUGCGUCUGAUUAGCUAGUUGGUGAGGUAACGGCUCACCAAGGCGACGAUCAGUAGGGGAUCUGAGAGGACUAACCCCCACACUGGUACUGAGACACGGACCAGACUCCUACGGGAGGCAGCAGUAAGGAAUAUGGUCAAUGGGGGCAACUCUGAACCAGCCAUGCCGCGUGCAGGAUGACGGCCCUAUGGGUUGUAAACUGCUUUUGUAUCAGAGAAAACCUACUCACGUGUGAGUAGCUG